CAACUGUGAAACAGAGACAGAAGAAUCCCUAGAAGCUCCUGGAACAGUAUCCUGGCAUAGGCAGCAGGGAAUAAGAGACCAUCUUACAUAAGGUGGAGAGGCCUCCUAAAUAUCAUCGGUCAGCCAGCUUGUCCCUCAGGAAGUCCUUGAAUAUGUCCAUAAGCCUGGAGCCUGCCAUUUCAAGGGUUCUGAGCACAGAAGCAGUGAUUUGAUCUGAAGGCAUCUGAACGUGCUCAACCAGACCCCAACCUCCCCAGGAUGCUCAUGUCAUCUAAGUUCUAUUUGUUUCUGAAGCACUUCAUGAAUUCUGUAUGGACCAAAAUGGGUUUCUGAAAACGA
Molecule: non-coding RNA, 339 nt
Organism: Peromyscus maniculatus bairdii (prairie deer mouse)
Lineage: Eukaryota; Metazoa; Chordata; Mammalia; Rodentia; Cricetidae
Source: RefSeq, a predicted model, not a curated record